This 1168-nucleotide ribosomal RNA is filed under the name Sympetrum illotum. RNAcentral's name for it is "partial 16S ribosomal RNA". Lineage: Eukaryota; Metazoa; Arthropoda; Insecta; Odonata; Libellulidae. The record is from RNAcentral.
AUAAAUUAUAUCUUACUUUUAAUUUAUUAUUGUUUUGAGAAAUAUCUUUUUUUUUAGUAUACUAAAGAACCAAUUAUUUAUGUUAUAGUGCAUUAGUACUGUCAAGGAAUAGAUGAAAUAAUUUAAAUUUAAUUUUUUUUUAAGUAUACUUUAUUUGUAGUACCUUUUGUAUCAGGGUUAAUUAAAUAAAUAAAUUUAUUUUUUUUAUCUCGAUUUCAAAAGAGCUAAAUUGUUAUUUUUUUUAAUGUAGCAUAAUUAUGUGAAAUAUAAUUUAGUGGAGAAAUUCCAUUCGUUUUUGAGGGUAUCUAGUUUUUUAAGAAUUAAAUUUAAUUUAGCUUUAUUAUUUAAAUAUUAUAUUACCCUAAUAAUUAUUUAAUAAUUUUAAAAUUAUGGGGGAUAAGCUCCAUAUUUUUCUAUAAAACUUUUGUUAAUUAAUUUUGGUAGGUUUAAAAUUAUCCAUCAUUAGUAAUUAUGUUAUAAUUUAUAUUUAAUAUUAAUUAAUUUUUGUUUUUUUAGUACAAUAUUAAAAUAUUAAAAUUAACUCACUAUUUUAUGAAAUAAUGAUUAAAUCAGUAUAAGAAAAUAUUUAUAAUUUUAUAUAUCAUAUGAUAAAAUAAGGAACUCGGCAAUUAAAUCUCUCGCCUGUUUAACAAAAACAUGUCCUUUUGAAUUUAAUUUAAGGUCUGACCUGCCCAGUGAUUGAAUUUAACGGCCGCGGUAUAUUGACCGUGCAAAGGUAGCAUAAUCAUUAGUCUUUUAAUAGAGGGCUGGAAUGAAUGGUUUAACGAGGAGAUAACUGUCUCAUUUUAUUUGUUUUAGAAUUUAAUUUUUUGGUUAAAAAGCUAAAAUUUUAUUGGAAGACGAGAAGACCCUAUAGAUCUUUAUAUAAUUUUUGUAUUUAUUUAUUUAUUAAUAUAUUUAUUAUAAUAUUAUAUUUUGUUGGGGUGACAAAAAUAUAUGAAAAACUUUUUUAUUUAUUUACCAUUAAUAUAUGACUAUUAGAUCCAUUAUUAGUGAUUGCUAGAAUAAGUUACCUUAGGGAUAACAGCGUAAUCCCCUUCCAGAGUUCAUAUUUACAAGGGGGCUUGCGACCUCGAUGUUGGAUUAAGAUAAUAAUUAGGUGUACCGCUUAAUUUAUAGGUCUGUGCGACCUUUAAACUCUUACAUA